Molecule: ribosomal RNA, 427 nt
Filed under: uncultured bacterium
Lineage: Bacteria
Description: bacterial SSU rRNA
Rfam family: Bacterial small subunit ribosomal RNA
Source: RNAcentral
UGGGGAAUAUUGGACAAUGGGCGCAAGCCUGAUCCAGCCAUGCCGCGUGGGUGAAGAAGGCCUUCGGGUUGUAAAGCCCUUUUGUCCGGAAAGAAAUCCUGUCGGUUAAUACCCGGCGGGGAUGACGGUACCGGAAGAAUAAGCACCGGCUAACUUCGUGCCAGCAGCCGCGGUAAUACGAAGGGUGCAAGCGUUACUCGGAAUUACUGGGCGUAAAGCGUGCGUAGGCGGUUCGUUAAGUCCGAUGUGAAAGCCCUGGGCUCAACCUGGGAACUGCAUUGGAUACUGGCGAGCUAGAGUGCGGUAGAGGAGGGUGGAAUUCCUGGUGUAGCGGUGAAAUGCGUAGAGAUCGGGAGGAACACCAGUGGCGAAGGCGGCCAUCUGGACCAGCACUGACGCUGAGGCACGAAAGCGUGGGGAGCAAACA